RNAcentral lists this small RNA (420 nucleotides) under Histoplasma ohiense. RNAcentral describes it as "hypothetical lncRNA". The record is from RNAcentral. Lineage: Eukaryota; Fungi; Ascomycota; Eurotiomycetes; Onygenales; Ajellomycetaceae.
ACCACUGUCAAUCUAUCUAUUGCUGCUAAUCUAUUGCUGCUGUCAAUCUAUCUAUCGCUGCUAAUCUAUCUAUCGCUGCUAAUCUAUCGCUGCUGCCAAUCUAUCCCUCACUGCUAAGCUAUCCCUCGCUGCUAAGCUAUCCCUCGCUGCUAAGCUAUCCCUCACUACUAAGCUAUCUAUCACUGCUAAUCUAUCGCUGCCAACCUAUCUAUCACUGCCAAUCUAUCUAUCGCUGCUAAUCUAUCGCUGCUAAUCUAUCACUGCUAAUCUAUCGCUGCCAACCUAUCUAUCGCUGCCAAUUUAUCUACCACUGCCAAUCUAUCUAUUGCUGCUAAUCUAUUGCUGCUGCCAAUCUAUCUAUCGCUGCUAAUCUAUUGCUGCUGCUAAUCUAUCUAUCGCUGCUAAUCUAUCGCUGCUAAU